GCCACACGACAUGUGUGCAUCCCCGGCUUCCUAUAAAGUCUUUUUUAAAGCGAACACAGUGUACUGUUCACCCAAACGCAGGCUGGCCGAGCCCACGGCUGCUCCCUCCCCCUGCCAACACGCUCUGCCCCCGGACAGCUGCAGGUCUUGAACCAGCCCAGGGGUUCCCUGAUCCAUCAUUCCUGCAGACAUGAUCAUCAGACUGGGCAGGCUCACUCCUGGAUACUUCCGCCUUCUCCAGAGGCAGGUUGCCGGCGAGGUCCAGACACAGCCACACGACCGCGCCGUCAACCAGAUCGCCAUGAUGCUGGCCAUCAUGGGUCUGAGUUUGUCCUACUACAGUGCCAAGCAGAUGACGGAGAAGGUCCAUGUCCAGCCUGCACCCUGAAGAGGCGUGGCCGAUGCGUCGUCUGGAGAUGAUGGAUGAACCAAUGAGAACCAGAGGAAAUAAAGGAGGGGGAAUCAAGAGACGGGGGUGUGUGUGUUUGGGGACAGCACUUGUUCUCACCUCGGUCGUUGAGCACAACCAUUCACUGACUUCCUGGGAUCCUUCACGUAUCUACAAACAGAACUUUAAGGGUCAAUUAAAGUUUUUUUUUUUUUUCACACUUUCUGUUGCAAGAACCUCCAGAGAUUUGGGGGAUUUGAUUAUUUGGGGUCACGAGGGGAACUGGUUUAGGUGUGUGGAAACCAGCUUACUGCCAAAUGGGUCUGAGCAUUAGUCAUUACAAAGGUGCAUGCUUGCAGGAUGACCUCAGUGCUGUUCUGAUCCGUAAAAAGGAGAAAAACCUUCACUGUGAAACACGUUUUGGCCAAAAAAAAAAAAAGGGUUACAUAUUCUGAAUGCUCCUUUGUAAGGGAAGGCUGACUGGGCUGUACCUCCCAAUGAAGUGAUGGCAGACCCAGAGUAGGGAUAAACAGGGGAUAACUCGUUUCCUUUUCAAUCCUUUGACUUUGUUUUUCAUUCUCUACCAGAAUAUUGUGGAGCCCUCUGUACAGAUACCAAGCUGUGAUCUGUUUUAUACACGUGAGCUGUAUCUAUCAGUGAAUAUUUGCACAAAACUAUCGAAACCUUUUUAAAACGCUAGAGUGGAUCCGCAAAGGGACUCUGAAAAACUCGCCGUUUAAUGUGUGACUUCAUUGUUUUAACAAUCCACAAAGUCGUCUGUGUGUGAGACUGUUAAUGAGAGCCUUUCGUGCAGGAUCCGCACAUUUUUAUCCAACCGUGUAACUUUGGUGAAACGCAUGUCUGUGUAGAAAGUAAUAAUUGCAAUUUCCACGAGUCUUGUUUGUUUUUUUUGUUGUUUUUUUUUAAAUUGAUGAAUGAAUGUAUCACUUUAUUUUGUAAAGAUUCAAUAAAGCUGUGAAUAUUUUAAGAGA
Fundulus heteroclitus (mummichog) is the source of this 1380-nucleotide long non-coding RNA. RefSeq lists it as uncharacterized. NCBI's taxonomy places the organism in Eukaryota, Metazoa, Chordata, Actinopteri, Cyprinodontiformes, Fundulidae. The record is from RefSeq and is a predicted model, not a curated record. The transcript has 3 exons.